GGAAGGGGCCUGAUGCAGGGAGUGAGGAGCAGGACGGUGAGGGUGGGAAGGAGCCUGAGGCAGGGAGUGAGGAGCAGGACGGUGAGGGUGGGAAGGAGCCUGAUGCAGGGAGUGAGGAGCAGGCGUGAGGGUGGGAAGGAGCCUGAUGUUUGCAUGGGCUGCCAGGCUUCUGGUUCAUACAGCCCCAGGUCAGUUUCCAGAACCCUCACUCUUGGG
Molecule: long non-coding RNA, 216 nt
Filed under: Pan troglodytes (chimpanzee)
Lineage: Eukaryota; Metazoa; Chordata; Mammalia; Primates; Hominidae
Description: long non-coding RNA NONPTRT006597
Source: RNAcentral